CAGCCGUAAACUAUGCGCGUUAGGUGUAUCGGUGACCACGAGUUACCGAGGUGCCGAAGGGAAACCGUGAAACGUGCCGCCUGGGGAGGUACGGUCGCAAGGCUGAAACUUAAAGGAAUUGGCGGGGGGAGGCACCACAACAGGUGGAGCCUGCGGUUUAAUUUGGACUCAACGCCGGGAAGCUCACCGGAUAGGACAGCAGAAUGAUUGCCGGGCUGAAGACCCUGCAUGACUAGCUGAGAGGAGGUGCAUGGCGUAGACGUCU
This 265-nucleotide ribosomal RNA is filed under the name uncultured archaeon. RNAcentral describes it as "partial 16S ribosomal RNA". It matches the Rfam family "Archaeal small subunit ribosomal RNA", at positions 748 to 1009 of the family's 1478-position model. The record is from RNAcentral.